This 235-nucleotide ribosomal RNA is filed under the name uncultured bacterium. RNAcentral's name for it is "partial 16S ribosomal RNA". It matches the Rfam family "Bacterial small subunit ribosomal RNA", at positions 15 to 248 of the family's 1533-position model. The record is from RNAcentral.
GAUCAUGGCUCAGAUUGAACGCUGGCGGCAGGCCUAACACAUGCAAGUCGAACGGUAACAGGAAGCAGCUUGCUGCUUCGCUGACGAGUGGCGGACGGGUGAGUAAUGUCUGGGAAACUGCCUGAUGGAGGGGGAUAACUACUGGAAACGGUAGCUAAUACCGCAUAACGUCGCAAGACCAAAGAGGGGGACCUUCGGGCCGUCUUGCCAUCGGAUGUGCCCAGAUGGGAGUUAG